UUCUGGCUCAGGACGAACGCUGGCGGCGUGCCUAAUACAUGCAAGUCGAACGGUCUUUCUAUGGAAGCUUGCUUCCACUGAGAAGAUAGUGGCGAACGGGUGAGUAACACGUGGGUAACCUGCCCAUAAGAGGGGGGAUAACAUCCGGAAACGGGUGCUAAUACCGCAUAGUUUUCUUGAUCGCAUGAUCGGGAAAGGAAAGACGGCCUUUGUGCUGUCGCUUAUGGAUGGACCCGCGGCGUAUUAGUUAGUUGGUGAGGUAACGGCUCACCAAGACGAUGAUACGUAGCCGACCUGAGAGGGUGAUCGGCCACAUUGGGACUGGGACACGGCCCAAACUCCUACGGGAGGCAGCAGUAGGGAAUCUUCCGCAAUGGACGAAAGUCUGACGGAGCAGCGCCGCGUGAGUGAAGAAAGGUUUUCGGAUCGUAAAACUCUGUUGUCAGAGAAGAACAAGUUGGAGAGUAACUGCUCCAGCCUUGACGGUAUCUGACCAGAAAGCCACGGCUAACUACGUGCCAGCAGCCGC
RNAcentral lists this ribosomal RNA (529 nucleotides) under uncultured bacterium. RNAcentral's name for it is "bacterial SSU rRNA". It matches the Rfam family "Bacterial small subunit ribosomal RNA", at positions 17 to 518 of the family's 1533-position model. The record is from RNAcentral.